AAUAAAUUUUUUAUAGUUUAUAAAUUUAUUAUAAAUUUAUUUUGCAUAUAAAUUUUAGUGUUAAUUUUUCAUUAUUUUAAUAAUUUUUGAAUUUUAAAAUAUAUAGCAAUUAAUAUUAAAAAUUUAAGAAAUUAAGAUUUAGUAAUAUUUAAAUUAAUAACAAAUUUUGUGCCAGCAGUUGCGGUUAUACAAAAAUUAAAUUAAAUUUUAUUAGUAAUUAAUUUAUAAAAAUUUUAUUUAAUUAAAUAUUAAAUUAAUAGGUGAAAUUUUUAUUUAAUUUAAUUUAAUUUAAUUUUAUAAUUUAAUAAAUUUAUAUUAUAAACUAGGAUUAGAUACCCUAUUAUUAAAAAUUUAAAUUUAAAAUACUAAAAUAGUAUAUAAUUAUUUAUUGAAACUUAAAUAAUUUGGCGGUAUUUUAGUUCAUUUAGAGGAAUCUGUUUAUUAAUUGAUAAUCCACGAAUGAAUUUACUUAAUUUAAAAUUUUGUAUAUCGUUGUUAAAAAAAUAUUUUUAAAUGAAAAUAAUAUUUUAAUUUUAUAAUUAAAAAUUAAAUCAGAUCAAGAUGCAGAUUAUAAUUAAGAAUAUAAUGGAUUACAAUAAAUUUAUUUAAAUGGAUUUUUUUUUGUAAUAAAAAUUUGAAAGUGGAUUUAAAUGUAAUUUUAUUUAUUUUAAUAAAAUGAUUAUAUAUUAAAAUAUGUACAUAUUGCCCGUCGCUUUCAUAAAUAAAUUGGAAUAAGUCGUAACAAAGUAGAGGUACUGGAAAGUGUUUCUAGAAAUAA
RNAcentral lists this non-coding RNA (778 nucleotides) under Ostrinia scapulalis. Lineage: Eukaryota; Metazoa; Arthropoda; Insecta; Lepidoptera; Crambidae. The record is from RNAcentral.